CCUACGGGGGGCUGCAGUGGGGAAUAUUGCACAAUGGGCGCAAGCCUGAUGCAGCCAUGCCGCGUGUGUGAAGAAGGCCUUCGGGUUGUAAAGCACUUUCAGCGGGGAGGAAGGCGGUGAGGUUAAUAACCUCAUCGGUUGACGUUACCCGCAGAAGAGGCACCGGCUAACUCCGUGCCAGCAGCCGCGGUAAUACGGAGGGUGCAAGCGUUAAUCGGAAUUACUGGGCGUAAAGCGCACGCAGGCGGUCUGUCAAGUCGGAUGUGAAAUCCCCGGGCUCAACCUGGGAACUGCAUUCGAAACUGGCAGGCUAGAGUCUUGUAGAGGGGGGUAGAAUUCCAGGUGUAGCGGUGAAAUGCGUAGAGAUCUGGAGGAAUACCGGUGGCGAAGGCGGCCCCCUGGACAAAGACUGACGCUCAGGUGCGAAAGCGUGGGGAGCAAACAGGAUUAAUACCCUUGUAGUC
This 464-nucleotide ribosomal RNA is filed under the name uncultured Klebsiella sp. RNAcentral's name for it is "bacterial SSU rRNA". It matches the Rfam family "Bacterial small subunit ribosomal RNA", at positions 338 to 795 of the family's 1533-position model. Lineage: Bacteria; Pseudomonadati; Pseudomonadota; Gammaproteobacteria; Enterobacterales; Enterobacteriaceae. The record is from RNAcentral.